GGGUGUAUAGCUCAGUGGUAGAGCAUUCGACUGCAGUUUGGAAGGUCCCCGGAUCAAACCCGGGUGUCCA
This 70-nucleotide transfer RNA is filed under the name Trichonephila inaurata madagascariensis. It matches the Rfam family "tRNA". Rfam says of the family: Transfer RNA (tRNA) molecules are approximately 80 nucleotides in length. Their secondary structure includes four short double-helical elements and three loops (D, anti-codon, and T loops). Lineage: Eukaryota; Metazoa; Arthropoda; Arachnida; Araneae; Nephilidae. The record is from Rfam by way of RNAcentral.